This 1479-nucleotide ribosomal RNA is filed under the name uncultured Bordetella sp. RNAcentral describes it as "partial 16S-23S ribosomal RNA intergenic spacer". It matches the Rfam family "Bacterial small subunit ribosomal RNA". The record is from RNAcentral. Lineage: Bacteria; Pseudomonadati; Pseudomonadota; Betaproteobacteria; Burkholderiales; Alcaligenaceae.
UUUGAUUCUGGCUCAGAUUGAACGCUGGCGGGAUGCUACACAUGCAAGUCGAACGGCAGCACGGACUUCGGUCUGGUGGCGAGUGGCGAACGGGUGAGUAAUGUAUCGGAACGUGCCUAGUAGCGGGGGAUAACUACGCGAAAGCGUAGCUAAUACCACAUACGCCCUUCGGGGAAAGCGGGGGGACCCUUCGGGCCUCGCACUAUUAGAGCAGCCGAUAUCGGAUUAGCUAGUUGGUGGGGUAACGGCUCACCAAGGCGACGAUCCGUAGCUGGUUUGAAGGACGACCAGCCACACUGGGACUGAGACACGGCCCAGACUCCUACAGGAGGCAGCAGUGGGGAAUUUUGGACAAUGGGGGAAACCCUGAUCCAGCCAUCCCGCGUGCGAUGAAGGCCUUCGGGUUGUAAAGCACUUUUGGCAGGAAAGAAACGGCACGGGAUAAUACCCCGUGCAACUGACAACCUGCAGAAUGACACCGGCUAACUACGUGCCAGCAGCCGCGGUAAUACGUAGGGUGCAGAAAGCGUUAAUCGGAAUUACUGGGCGUAAAGCGUGCGCAGGCGGUUCGGAAAGAAGAUGUGAAAUCCCAGAGCUUAACUUUGGAACUGCAUUUUAACUACCGAGCUAGAGUGUGUCAGAGGGAGGUGGAAUUCCCGUGUAGCAGUGAAAUGCGUAGAUAUGCGGAGGAACACCGAUGGCGAAGGCAGCCUCCUGGGAUAACACUGACGCUCAUGCACCGAAAAGCGUGGGAGCAAACAGGAUUAGAUACCCUGGUAGUCCACGCCCUAAACGAUGUCCAACCCGCUGUUGGGGCCUUCGGGCCUUGGUAGCGCAGCUAACGCGUGAAGUUGACCGCCUGGGGAAAUUACGGUCGCAAGAUUAAAACUCAAAGGAAUUGACGGGGACCCGCACAAGCGGUGGAUGAUGUGGAUUAAUUCGAUGCAACGCGAAAAACCUUACCUACCAUGACAUGUCUGGAAUCCCGAAGAGAUUUGGGAGUGCUCGCAAGAGAACCGGAACACAGGUGCUGCAUGGCUGUCGUCAGCUCGUGUCGUGAGAUGUUGGGUUAAGUCCCGCAACGAGCGCAACCCUUGUCAUUAGUUGCUACGAAAGGGCACUCUAAUGAGACUGCGGUGACAAACCGGAGGAAGGUGGGGAUGACGUCAAGUCCUCAUGGCCCUUAUGGGUAGGGCUUCACACGUCAUACAAUGGUCGGGACAGAGGGUCGCCAACCCGCGAGGGGAGCCAAUCAGAAACCCGAUCGUAGUCCGGAUCGCAGUCUGCAACUCGACUGCGUGAAGUCGGAAUCGCUAGUAAUCGCGGAUCAGCAUGUCGCGGUGAAUACGUUCCCGGGUCUUGUACACACCGCCCGUCACACCAUGGGGGAGUGGGUUUUACCAGAAGUAGUUAGCCUAACCGUAAGGAGGGCGAUUACCACAGUAGGAUUCAUGACUGGGGUGAAGUCGCUUAAGGUAG